UACGUAGGGUGCAAGCGUUGUCCGGAAUUAUUGGGCGUAAAGAGCUCGUAGGCGGUUCGUCGCGUCGGCUGUGAAAUCCCGGAGCUCAACUCCGGGUCUGCAGUCGAUACGGGCGGACUCGAGUUCGGCAGGGGAGACUGGAAUUCCUGGUGUAGCGGUGAAAUGCGCAGAUAUCAGGAGGAACGCCGGUGGCGAAGGCGGGUCUCUGGGCCGAUACUGACGCUGAGGAGCGAAAGCGUGGGGAGCGAACAGG
RNAcentral lists this ribosomal RNA (253 nucleotides) under uncultured bacterium. RNAcentral describes it as "partial 16S ribosomal RNA". It matches the Rfam family "Bacterial small subunit ribosomal RNA", at positions 524 to 776 of the family's 1533-position model. The record is from RNAcentral.